Molecule: long non-coding RNA, 567 nt
Organism: Myodes glareolus (Bank vole)
Lineage: Eukaryota; Metazoa; Chordata; Mammalia; Rodentia; Cricetidae
Source: RefSeq, a predicted model, not a curated record
UGUCAACGAUCAGUACAAGAGAAAGUCAGUCAACAUUUCAAAAGAAUGGAGGAAAGGCUUGUGAGGUCCCACUCAUAGCUGAGGUGCUAUUGAUGGCUGCCUGGAGAGGAUAUCCUGGGUUGAAUUCCUCCCCACAUCCACCAGACAGCGCAAACUACAAGUCCUACCACACCUGCACACUUGCCUAUCCUUCUACAACCUCAUUGGAACUCUGAAACAUAGCCUGCUAUAUACAAUACCGACAGAACCAAGAGGCACAGAACAGCUGUACAAUUACAAAGAAGACAAUGCAACAAGGACUCGGAGGGGUUGACAAACAGGAUCCAGCUGGAAGUUAGGCCAUAAAGGAUAUUAGAAAGGCAAAUGGAGAACUCUAGCACCAUGACACCCUUCUGGAUCAUUGGCACAAAAUGCAAUUGAAAUGAUGGGUGUGAAGUAACCAUCAUAGACUUUUCACAUUUACUGGAUUGAGAAUCUCAAAACAGAAUCUUGGCAAUUCCGUGUCUUAAGAAGAAAAAACAGUAUUAAUGUUUCUCAGAAAAUAAAUAGAACUGCCAUAUGACUCAA